Molecule: ribosomal RNA, 497 nt
Filed under: uncultured bacterium
Lineage: Bacteria
Description: partial 16S ribosomal RNA
Rfam family: Bacterial small subunit ribosomal RNA
Source: RNAcentral
GAUGAACGCUGGCGGCGUGCCUAAUACAUGCAAGUCGAGCGAACGGACGAGAAGCUUGCUUUUCUGAUGUUAGCGGCGGACGGGCGAGUAACACGUGGAUAACCUACCUAUAAGACUGGGAUAACUUCGGGAAACCGGAGCUAAUACCGGAUAAUAUUUUGAACCGCAUGGUUCAAAAGUGAAAGACGGUCUUGCUGUCACUUAUAGAUGGAUCCGCGCUGCAUUAGCUAGUUGGUAAGGUAACGGCUUACCAAGGCAACGAUGCAUAGCCGACCUGAGAGGGUGAUCGGCCACACUGGAACUGAGACACGGUCCAGACUCCUACGGGAGGCAGCAGUAGGGAAUCUUCCGCAAUGGGCGAAAGCCUGACGGAGCAACGCCGCGUGAGUGAUGAAGGUCUUCGGAUCGUAAAACUCUGUUAUUAGGGAAGGACAUAUGUGUAAGUAACUGUGCACAUCUUGACGGUACCUAAUCAGAAAGCCACGGCUAACUACGUG